Molecule: ribosomal RNA, 293 nt
Filed under: uncultured bacterium
Lineage: Bacteria
Description: partial 16S ribosomal RNA
Rfam family: Bacterial small subunit ribosomal RNA
Source: RNAcentral
GUGUUCCUACGGGGGGCAGCAGUGAGGAAUAUUGGUCAAUGGUCGGGAGACUGAACCAGCCAAGCCGCGUGAGGGAGGAAGGUACAGAGUAUCGUAAACCUCUUUUGUCAGGGAACAAAGGCGGGGACGUGUCCCCGGAUGAGUGUACCUGAAGAAAAAGCAUCGGCUAACUCCGGGCCAGCAGCCGCGGUAAUACGGAGGAUGCGGGCGUUUUCCGGAUUUAUUGGGUUUAAAGGGUGCGCAGGGGGUCUGUUAAGUCAGCGGGCAAAGCCCGGGGCUCAACCCCGGCCCGC